AUGCUUGUUUAUGUGACUCCUGUAGGGCUUUUUUUUUUUUUUUUUCCCAGAGGUGGGUGGUGGUGGUGGUGGUGUCCUUCCCUUCCUGGGUGGGAGUGGAUGUCUGUCUCCCGUCAGGACAGUCGUCCCUCUGUUCCUCUUCAUGCUGAAUGCUGUUCCCGGGUGGUCUCACUGGGGAGAGAGGAUGGAUGGGUGCUGGUAUUCGGGUGGGACAUAGGUUCACCAGCUGGGCCUCCAGAAAGGAGUCCCCAGCCCAAGCAGCUUCUGUGGUUGGUACCCGGUUACCUGGUCCUCCGACUUGGUGCCGGACAGGUGUCUACACAGGAUGGCCCUUGUUUGGCCUCCCAAGGCCCGGCGGAGGUGUCUCCCGGAGCCUUGAGUGAAAUUGCAGUUUCUGGCCGCACCUGGCCCUGCCCGCCUGGGGCAGGAACGGUCCUUGAGCUCUGGCAGGGCAGAGAUGAAAGAAGCCAGAGAGGAGAGAGGCGCCCAGGCUCCUGGUGCUGCUUUCCCGUCGCCUUUGUCUCCUGGGGGGUUUGGUCUCCUCCAGUUCUCUCCACGCCUCUGUUUUCCCGUCUGUCCCUGGGUCUCCCCUGCCCUUUCUUUCCCUGUUACACUCUCUCCUUUUGUUUUUCUUUCGGCCUCUCUGCUGGGGCUUUCCAGAAUCCAGCAUCCCGGCUCCACACUGCGGUUCAUGUUUCUCAUUGUGCACCAGACAGAUUCCGGGGUGUGAGCGGAGACCUGCACAUCCCGAUUACACAAUCCUCACCCACGAACUCCCCGUCGGAUGGCCUUCUGCUGCGCCGAACCCCCUCUCCCCAACUUCCCAGGACGCUCACAGAGCCAGGCCCGCUGUGUCUGUCCAGCCCCCGGGCUGCUGGAGGCCUGUGUACCUGGCUCCAUAUGACCUUCGUUCUCGUCUCGUGGAUUUGCUUAAAUGCCCCUGCACAGCCAGGUCCCAGCGCCCCCAUGGCAGCCCAGGAGGUCUCAGGAGCGGGGAGGGGCAUCGGGGAGCUGCUCUGGGUGUCCCCAUCCCCUCCCCAUCGGGAUGAAACCCUAGCUACAGGAGAUGAGAGCUCUGACCCUCCACCUCCGGGGUGGAAAUUUACCAAUCCUACCCGCCCCUCGGCCCCCUGA
This 1134-nucleotide long non-coding RNA is filed under the name Oryctolagus cuniculus (rabbit). RNAcentral's name for it is "lncRNA (ENSOCUG00000031555.1)". The record is from RNAcentral. Lineage: Eukaryota; Metazoa; Chordata; Mammalia; Lagomorpha; Leporidae.